UACAGACUCAUACAAUGAACACCAGCAUGAUCACAGUGGACCAAUGGGAACAAUUUAUCCCUUUGGCCCACAGAGAUCAUUUAUCAGAAACAUCACAAGAGAAUUCAGAAGUGUUUUACGGCUCAAACAGUCAAGAAAGAUUAUCCUGUUUCUUGGAUUAAAUGUCCUUGGUACAAUCAUCUUAUUCAUUUGGUGCCAUGCAACAAACAGUAUGGCACUUACAGCAUACACAUACCUCACUAUUUAUGACAUCUUCAGGUAAGCUAUAAAGAAUGAC
Molecule: long non-coding RNA, 277 nt
Organism: Saccostrea cuccullata (small rock oyster)
Lineage: Eukaryota; Metazoa; Mollusca; Bivalvia; Ostreida; Ostreidae
Exons: 4
Source: RefSeq, a predicted model, not a curated record